CCUGCACCAAGCUUCAUUAACAGCUAUUGGGAGCAGGUCGGUUGCUCCUUCUGACCCGCGUGCUGCGCUCAGAGGCGCACUCCCCGCGGACGCACGCUCUCGGCCGACCUUUCCCCGCGAGCUCCCCGGUGCCCUGCCUCUGGCAUCGCCAUUCAGGCGGCCCCUCGGGCCGACAGCGUGUUCACCCGGGCGGCGUUACCGGACGAGACCCGGCCUGGGAUCUGCGGAGACUGGGCGGCUGCUGGCGGACGCGAGGGGCGGGCUGCGCGGCGGAGGGUGCACCAGGCAGCGCUCACUGCGCGCGGCGCUAGGGGCUCGGC
RNAcentral lists this long non-coding RNA (320 nucleotides) under Homo sapiens (human). Its description in RNAcentral is "non-protein coding lnc-MRPS33-1:1". The record is from RNAcentral. Lineage: Eukaryota; Metazoa; Chordata; Mammalia; Primates; Hominidae.